Molecule: ribosomal RNA, 255 nt
Filed under: uncultured bacterium
Lineage: Bacteria
Description: partial 16S ribosomal RNA
Rfam family: Bacterial small subunit ribosomal RNA
Source: RNAcentral
UACGAAGGGGGCUAGCGUUGCUCGGAAUCACUGGGCGUAAAGCGCACGUAGGCGGAUUGCUAAGUCAGGGGUGAAAUCCUGGAGCUCAACUCCAGAACUGCCCUUGAUACUGGCGGUCUCGAGUCCGGGAGAGGUGAGUGGAACUGCGAGUGUAGAGGUGAAAAUUCGUAGAUAUUCGCAAGAACACCAGUGGCGAAGGCGGCUCACUGGCCCGGUACUGACGCUGAGGUGCGAAAGCGUGGGGAGCAAACAGGG